This 2903-nucleotide unclassified non-coding RNA is filed under the name Leishmania donovani. RNAcentral's name for it is "gene:LdHU3.31.0300(CDS-product:hypothetical_prote in_conserved)". The record is from RNAcentral. Lineage: Eukaryota; Euglenozoa; Kinetoplastea; Trypanosomatida; Trypanosomatidae.
AUGUUGUCGUUUCUCGAUGUCCAUUCCGCGCUUAGCCACACACACCUACACGCACUCAGACACAUAGCGGUGCAACAUGAAUCUCGAUGUUGUGGAUGCGACUGCCGAGGCGCUGCCGCUCGAGCUACUCAACAACACGAACAAGGAGCUCACUGCGCAGCUCACGCGCUUUGAGCAGCAGCUGGAGGAGCGGCAGGGCGGCGUCGAGGACCAGCGGCGGCGGCUGCAGUUUAUGAAGGAGCACCUUGGCAACGUCCGCGCAGAAAUCGUGAACACGCAGAGCCUCUCCGAGACGAAGAAGCGCGAGCUUGAGUCGGAGGAGAGCAUGUGCCGCGUCAUGGAACGAGAGUGCGCGCGGCUGCAGCAGCGGCAAACACAACUGGAGCGAAGCGCCGAGGACGUACGCGACCGGCUCACGUCCGUGCAAGACCGCAUCUUCCACGGAAAUCUGAAGAUCGAGGAGCUCAAGACGACGCUGGACUACAACCAGGAGGAGCUGGAGCAGUGGGACGAGGCCCGUCGGCAAAAAGAGGAGGACGAGCUAGCCAUCGCGCGCUACUGCAAGCUUGAUGAGGCCAAGGUCAAGCAGCUCACUCAGCACAUUGAGAAGCUCGAGACCACCGUGCGGAGGCAGCGCAAGCAGCUUGAUGAGGAGAUGCUCGCCACGCAGCACGUGCAGGGGGAGCUGGACCGCGUCGCCAGCGAGUACCGCAAGCUUCACGACGACCGUAGCGGCAUGCUAGACGAGUGGGAGCAGGUGGUUCGCACCAUCGCCGAGCGCGACGAGGCCAUCCGCAUCGCGGCAGAGCAGUAUGCCGACGGCGUUGCCUGGAUUCAGAAGCGGCAACAGCUGAAGAAGUCGCUGUCGGAAUCGCUCGAGGAGGCGAAGGAGGAGACGGCGGUGAUCAAUUACACCAUCCAAGAGCGCGAGAAGACGUCGCAGAAGCUGCAGGAGGCGGUGCCGGUGCUGACGCAGCAGGUGCAGAGCAUACAGGACGAGGUGGAUGCCCUUCGUGAGGAGGCGUCACGGGCCACGCGGGACAAGCGGGCGGCGAUCCUCCAGCUGCAGGAGACCAUCACCGAGAUCGAGCGCCGCAACAAGGAACUGACGAUGACAGAGAAGCGCCGAGCCACUGUAGCGGAGAGACUCAAGGAGGAGGAGAUGGCCGCCACCGAUCUUCAGAAGCAAGCCGACUUUAUUGCGCAGCUGCUGAAGGACGCUGAAACGACCUCCCACAACGUCGCCAAGGACAUUGAGCAGCUCAAGACGGCGGCCUUCAAGGCGAACCAGGAGCUUUCCGAUGUGCGCGCGGCUCAGACGACGACCCUGGGCGAGAUCAGUGGGGCGCAGGCACAGGGCAAGAACUACAACGCCAAGAUCAACCAGCUGGAUGGGGAGUCUUUCUCUCAGCAGGGGGUGCUGUACAACAUCGAAUUCAGCGUCCAGCAGAUGGAGAAGCGUGUGGGCCGCGCCAAAGGCGAGCGCACCGAGGAGGAGCGGAAGGAGCUGCACGGCAAGAUCGAUCUUCUGCAGGCCACACUGGACGAGCUAGAGAAGCAAAACAGAAUCCUGCAGAACCAAGUGAAGCGGGUGCGGGAGGAGAUGCGGCAGUCAACCAUGCUGAUCGAGAAACUGGAGAUGACGAAGAAGCGUUCCCUUGAGGAGGUAUUAGAGAUGGACCUACGUUGCACGCACGACGAACGGGAAGAGAAGAAGCUAGAGAAGCAGCGCGAGGACCUUCUUAUCAAGGUGGACACGUUAGAGCUGCAGCUGCGCCGUCUGCGCAACGCGCUAAGAGCCAAGGAUGCAGAGCUGCUCACGUUGGAGGAGAAGAAGCGGCAGCUCGAGGCUGACGUGGCGGAGCGCGAGGCGGAGAUCGAAGUACACCACCGUCUGCUGAAGAUGGAGGCGAAGCUGGCGGAGGAGGAGCGCAAGCGCCUUGUGACGGAGCUUCUCGACCGACAGAAAAACUUGACGGCGGUCAAGAACAGACAGGAGGUGCUUGUAGGCCGCAUGGACCCGGCGCAGGCGCGCUUGUCGCAGGUCCAACUCGUGAUCGCGGCAGCGAAAGAGCGUGAGGACCUCCAGUACCGCGGCGACUCCCUCGACACGCGCAUCCGUCGCAUGGAGAAGGAGAUGCUGAAGCUCGAGAAGACCAUCGCUGUCAUCAAGGCGAGCAAUGCGCAGUACAAGCAUAAGUUCGACAAGGUCUCCGACAAGGACGAGGAGGUGCAGACGCAGAAGGCGCUCACGACCAAGUUCAAGGAGCUCAAGAGCGCAAUAAGCCGCCGCGCUCUGGAGGCGAACGACUUUCAAGCCACCACACGCAACAAGCAGGAGGAGCUGCGAGCACUCUCGUUUGAGAAAGAGCGUGUCGGACACACGCAGCAGCAGAUGCUGCAACAGUACGAGGCCGUCACCCAAGACAUCCUAACGUUGCGCGAGACUUCUGUUCGCUACGAUCAAGCCAUUGGAAAGGCCAAGGAGAACGUCGAUGCUGCCGUCGCGCGCGAUGUCGAACUCGUCUGCGCACGCGAGAGACUCGACAACACCGUCGCUCAGCUCCUCUCUCUCUCCCGCGAAGCCGGUGACGAGGUGCUUGACGUGGUCAAGCAGAUGCUCGCUGCCCAUCAGCUGUCGAUUGAAAGUGCCUAGAAAGAGGAGUGAAGGGCAACGUUGCACGUACAGUGCUCCCUCUUGGGCGGUGCUUGCGUCGCUACGUGUUUCUCGGCACGGCAGGAUGGCUGACCACCGCUGCCCCUCUUCGCCACUCUCCGUGAUGUGCCCUGGUGGGCUUGUUGCGGGCGUCCCCUUCCUUUGUUCGUUUUAGUCGCCACCCCCUCCCCGGGGCGAUUUUGAUGUAGACUACACCCCUGUGUCGCCGUUGUCCCGCAUCCUUUUC